Molecule: ribosomal RNA, 207 nt
Filed under: uncultured bacterium
Lineage: Bacteria
Description: partial 16S ribosomal RNA
Rfam family: Bacterial small subunit ribosomal RNA
Source: RNAcentral
AGCGCAGGCGGUUUUUUAAGUCUGAUGUGAAAGCCUUCGGCUUAACCGGAGAAGUGCAUCGGAAACUGGGAGACUUGAGUGCAGAAGAGGACAGUGGAACUCCAUGUGUAGCGGUGGAAUGCAUAGAUAUAUGGAAGAACACCAGUGGCGAAGGCGGCUGUCUAGUCUGUAACUGACGCUGAGGCUCGAAAGCAUGGGUAGCGAACA